Molecule: transfer RNA, 87 nt
Filed under: Escherichia coli
Lineage: Bacteria; Pseudomonadati; Pseudomonadota; Gammaproteobacteria; Enterobacterales; Enterobacteriaceae
Also listed under: 2 other names
Description: tRNA-Leu
Rfam family: tRNA
About the family: Transfer RNA (tRNA) molecules are approximately 80 nucleotides in length. Their secondary structure includes four short double-helical elements and three loops (D, anti-codon, and T loops). Further hydrogen bonds mediate the characteristic L-shaped molecular structure. tRNAs have two regions of fundamental functional importance: the anti-codon, which is responsible for specific mRNA codon recognition, and the 3' end, to which the tRNAs corresponding amino acid is attached (by aminoacyl-tRNA synthetases). tRNAs cope with the degeneracy of the genetic code in two manners: having more than one tRNA (with a specific anti-codon) for a particular amino acid; and 'wobble' base-pairing, i.e. permitting non-standard base-pairing at the 3rd anti-codon position.
Source: RNAcentral
GCCCGGAUGGUGGAAUCGGUAGACACAAGGGAUUUAAAAUCCCUCGGCGUUCACGCUGUGCGGGUUCAAGUCCCGCUCCGGGUACCA